UGGGGAAUUUUGGACAAUGGGGGAAACCCUGAUCCAGCCAUCCAGCGUGUGCGAUGAAGGCCUUCGGGUUGUAAAGCACUUUUGGCAGGAAAGAAACGUCAUGGGUUAAUACCCCGUGAAACUGACGGUACCUGCAGAAUAAGCACCGGCUAACUACGUGCCAGCAGCCGCGGUAAUACGUAGGGUGCAAGCGUUAAUCGGAAUUACUGGGCGUAAAGCGUGCGCAGGCGGUUCGGAAAGAAAGAUGUGAAAUCCCAGAGCUCAACUUUGGAACUGCAUUUUUAACUACCGGGCUAGAGUGUGUCAGAGGGAGGUGGAAUUCCGCGUGUAGCAGUGAAAUGCGUAGAUAUGCGGAGGAACACCGAUGGCGAAGGCAGCCUCCUGGGAUAACACUGACGCUCAUGCACGAAAGCGUGGGGAGCAAACAGG
RNAcentral lists this ribosomal RNA (429 nucleotides) under Acidobacteriota bacterium. RNAcentral's name for it is "Acidobacteria bacterium partial 16S ribosomal RNA". It matches the Rfam family "Bacterial small subunit ribosomal RNA", at positions 355 to 776 of the family's 1533-position model. The record is from RNAcentral. Lineage: Bacteria; Pseudomonadati; Acidobacteriota.